RNAcentral lists this ribosomal RNA (275 nucleotides) under uncultured Roseburia sp. RNAcentral describes it as "partial 16S ribosomal RNA". It matches the Rfam family "Bacterial small subunit ribosomal RNA", at positions 70 to 339 of the family's 1533-position model. The record is from RNAcentral. Lineage: Bacteria; Bacillati; Bacillota; Clostridia; Lachnospirales; Lachnospiraceae.
UUUUCUUCGGAAAUGAAGAUUUUGUGACUGAGUGGCGGACGGGUGAGUAACGCGUGGGUAACCUGCCUCAUACAGGGGGAUAACAGUUGGAAACGACUGCUAAUACCGCAUAAGCGCACAGGAUUGCAUGAUCCGGUGUGAAAAACUCCGGUGGUAUGGGAUGGACCCGCGUCUGAUUAGCCAGUUGGCAGGGUAACGGCCUACCAAAGCGACGAUCAGUAGCCGACCUGAGAGGGUGACCGGCCACAUUGGGACUGAGAUACGGCCCAGACUCC